This 507-nucleotide ribosomal RNA is filed under the name uncultured bacterium. RNAcentral's name for it is "partial 16S ribosomal RNA". The record is from RNAcentral.
GGAGUUAGCCGGUGCUUCUUCUGUGAGUGAUGUCCUUCCUGCCGGUUAUUGAUCCGCAGGCCUUCUUCCUCACUGAAAGUGCUUUACAACCCGAAGGCCUUCUUCACACACGCGGCAUGGCUGGAUCAGGGUUGCCCCCAUUGUCCAAUAUUCCCCACUGCUGCCUCCCGUAGGAGUCUGGGCCGUGUCUCAGUCCCAGUGUGGCUGAUCAUCCUCUCAGACCAGCUACGGAUCGUCGCCUUGGUGAGCCGUUACCUCACCAACCAGCUAAUCCGACAUAGGCUCAUCCGAUAGCGCGAGGCCCGAAGGUCCCCCGCUUUCCCCCGUAGGGCGUAUGCGGUAUUAGCCUGGGUUUCCCCAGGUUAUCCCCCACUACCGGGCAGAUUCCUAUGCAUUACUCACCCGUCCGCCGCUCGCCACCAGGGAGCAAGCUCCCCGUGCUGCCGCUCGACUUGCAUGUGUUAGGCCUGCCGCCAGCGUUCAAUCUGAGCCAGGAUCAAACUCUGA